Molecule: long non-coding RNA, 268 nt
Organism: Erigeron canadensis
Lineage: Eukaryota; Viridiplantae; Streptophyta; Magnoliopsida; Asterales; Asteraceae
Exons: 3
Source: RefSeq, a predicted model, not a curated record
CUCUUUAUGGUGCUUGUGAGUCGAUGUUCAAACCUGACAUGGAACAAGAAGAGUUGUUUGAGACCAUCUCCCAAGCUCUUCUAUCAUCUGUUGAUCGAGAUUGUUUGAGUGGUUGGGGCGGACAUGUCUACGUUGUUACACCAACUGAAGUGACAGAGAGAAUCCUGAAGGGUAGAAUGGAUUAAGCUUUUCACAAAAAAACUACUUAGCAUUGAAUCUGUAUGGUUAGUGAUUACAGACAAUGAUCAUCUUUCACUUGCCCAGGGUC